GGGGGGGGGGGGGGGGGGGGCGGGGGGAUGGAAGGCGGGCGGGGAGGCGGGGAGGUGGCUCCGCGGACGUGAGCGGCGGACGGGUGAGUAACACGUGGAUAACCUACCUAUAAGACUGGGAUAACUUCGGGAAACCGGAGCUAAUACCGGAGAAUAUAUUGAACCGCAUGGUUCAAUAGUGAAAGACGGUUUUGCUGUCACUUAUAGAUGGAUCCGCGCCGCAUUAGCUAGUUGGUAAGGUAACGGCUUACCAAGGCGACGAUGCGUAGCCGACCUGAGAGGGUGAUCGGCCACACUGGAACUGAGACACGGUCCAGACUCCUACGGGAGGCAGCAGUAGGGAAUCUUCCGCAAUGGGCGAAAGCCUGACGGAGCAACGCCGCGUGAGUGAUGAAGGUCUUCGGAUCGUAAAACUCUGUUAUUAGGGAAGAACAAAUGUGAAAGUAACUAUGCACGUCUUGACGGUACCUAAUCAGAAAGCCACGGCUAACUACGUG
RNAcentral lists this ribosomal RNA (497 nucleotides) under uncultured bacterium. Its description in RNAcentral is "partial 16S ribosomal RNA". It matches the Rfam family "Bacterial small subunit ribosomal RNA", at positions 38 to 507 of the family's 1533-position model. The record is from RNAcentral.